Molecule: long non-coding RNA, 805 nt
Filed under: Ictidomys tridecemlineatus (thirteen-lined ground squirrel)
Lineage: Eukaryota; Metazoa; Chordata; Mammalia; Rodentia; Sciuridae
Description: lncRNA (ENSSTOG00000034387.1)
Source: RNAcentral
AAUAAACUAAGAGUAGAUCAAACAUUCUUUUUUUUUUUUCUUAUACCUCGGCCCACAUUGUUUCUAAGGCUCUGUCCUUGUAGCAACAUCCUUAUAAGCAGAAUAUUCAUGCCCUAUGUCUCUUCCCACCCUUUUCAGUGUUGUAUUUUUAUGGGGAAAAGCCUUUCAGAGAGCUCUGUACAUCCCAUUGAACCACUGAGUCCACUUGAUCUUGAAUGAGGAUAUGUAACCAGAAGAGUACAAAUGCAGGCUAAGUCAGCCCUUCUAAACACCUUUGAGCCCCUCCCCCUAGGUCUGGAUGGAGGAUACCUUAAAGUGAAAUGACAGACCAGGAGAAUAACAACAACAUCUCAAGUAAUCCCUUUGCUGCUCUUUUUGGCUCCCUGGCUGAUGCCAAGCAGUUUGCAGCAAUCCAAAAAGAGCAGCUGAAGCAGCAAUCUGAUGAACUCCCAGCUAGCCCAGAUGAUUCGGAUAAUAGUGUGUCAGAGAGCCUGGAUGAAUUUGAUUACUCUGUGGCUGAGAUCAGCCGCUCAUUCCGGUCACAGCAAGAGAUAUGUGAGCAACUCAACAUCAAUCACAUGAUCCAAAGGAUCUUCCUCAUUACUCUGGAUAACAGUGAUCCUAGCUUGAAAAGUGGGAAUGGCAUCCCCAGCCGUUGUGUGUAUUUGGAAGAAAUGGCAGUAGAACUGGAAGAUCAAGACUGGCUUGAUAUGAGCAACGUUGAGCAGGCCAUCUUUGCUCGCUUAUUACUUCAAGAUCCAGGAAACCACUUGAUUAACAUGACUUCUUCUACAACAUUAAAUCU